This 576-nucleotide unclassified non-coding RNA is filed under the name Hevea brasiliensis (rubber tree). Lineage: Eukaryota; Viridiplantae; Streptophyta; Magnoliopsida; Malpighiales; Euphorbiaceae. The record is from RNAcentral.
GAAAGACUCAAAAGAGAUGCUUGCCCAAUGUUUGAGAUACUGUCGGAAAACUCCACCACCAUCGAACUUUUAAACUCUGUUCCGAUCAGUGUUCAGGUUAUUAUGUAUGUUGGACACCUUCAAUCGUUGAUGUGUAGUUUUUUUAGGUUAAUCACUGCAAACUUUUAGGGGUUGGGCUUUAGACUAAUCUAUUCUCAUUACAAGUAGCUAUGCAACCCAGUGGUGCAAAAGAUACACAACUCCGUGAGAGCAACAGCCAGAAGGUCCAUCCACAACCUAUGGAGGAAGCCGCAAACCAAAAUCCUGAAGCAGUUGAAGCUGUGGUAUCUAGGAUUUUUACAAAUAUCUCUUCCCUGAAAUCUGCCUACAUUCAACUCCAAUCUGCUCAUACUCCUUAUGACCCUGACAAAAUCCAAGCUGCCGAUAAACUUGUAAUUUCAGAGCUGAAGAAUCUCUCUGAACUGAAGCACUUCUACAGGGAGCAUAAUCCCAAACCUGUGUGUGUUUCACCUCAGGAUUCUCGCUUGGCUGCAGAGAUCCAAGAACAGCAGAGUUUGUUGAAAACAUAUGAAGUUA